GGAGCGAUGGUGUAGUUGGUUAUCACGUCUGUCUAACAUCUGAAUGUUCACAGACGGUCCUCAGUUCGAACCUGGGUCGCUUCA
RNAcentral lists this transfer RNA (84 nucleotides) under Ceratobasidium sp. 395. RNAcentral describes it as "tRNA-Val". RNAcentral also lists the same sequence under 1 other name. The record is from RNAcentral. Lineage: Eukaryota; Fungi; Basidiomycota; Agaricomycetes; Cantharellales; Ceratobasidiaceae.